UCCGUAGGUGGAUAAUUAAGUCAGAGGUGAAAUCCUGCAGCUCAACUGUAGAAUUGCCUUUGAUACUGGUUAUCUUGAGUCAUUAUGAAGUGGUUAGAAUGUGUAGUGUAGCGGUGAAAUGCAUAGAUAUUACACAGAAUACCGAUUGCGAAGGCAGAUCACUAAUAAUGUACUGACACUGAUGGACGAAAGCGUGGGGGGCGAACAGGAUUAGAUACCCUGGUAGUCC
RNAcentral lists this ribosomal RNA (229 nucleotides) under uncultured bacterium. RNAcentral describes it as "partial 16S ribosomal RNA". It matches the Rfam family "Bacterial small subunit ribosomal RNA", at positions 568 to 796 of the family's 1533-position model. The record is from RNAcentral.